GCGUUCGUAGCUCAGCUGGAUAGAGCACUGGUCUNNCGGUCAGGGAUUCGAAUUCCUUCGAGCGCACCA
Molecule: transfer RNA, 69 nt
Filed under: Sulfurimonas sp. UBA12504
Lineage: Bacteria; Pseudomonadati; Campylobacterota; Epsilonproteobacteria; Campylobacterales; Sulfurimonadaceae
Description: tRNA-OTHER
Source: RNAcentral